This 256-nucleotide ribosomal RNA is filed under the name uncultured bacterium. Its description in RNAcentral is "partial 16S ribosomal RNA". It matches the Rfam family "Bacterial small subunit ribosomal RNA", at positions 523 to 776 of the family's 1533-position model. The record is from RNAcentral.
GGACAGAGGGUGCAAACGUUUGCUCGGGAAUGACUGGGCGUAAAGGGCGCGUAGGCGGAUGGCACAGUCAGAUGUGAAAUUCCCGGGCUUAACCUGGGGGCUGCAUUUGAUACGUGUGAUCUAGAGUGAGGAAGAGGGUCGUGGAAUUCCCAGUGUAGAGGUGAAAUUCGUAGAUAUUGGGAAGAACACCGGUGGCGAAGGCGGCGACCUGGUCCUUGACUGACGCUGAGGCGCGAAAGCGUGGGGAGCAAACAGG